This 1095-nucleotide long non-coding RNA is filed under the name Homo sapiens (human). RNAcentral describes it as "HSALNT0087022". Lineage: Eukaryota; Metazoa; Chordata; Mammalia; Primates; Hominidae. The record is from RNAcentral.
UGACCUUCUGGGAUUUGUAGUAGUCAGGGCCACGCGGCUGGGCGCGCCCUCUAGCAGCAGCCCUGAGUGACCGCAGCGCACGAGCGCGGGAAAAUGAGGCUGCGCGGGCUGAAGAGCGCACCGAGAGGAGCCGCCCCCGCGGUACCGCGCAGCCUCGCGUCCCGUCAGUGGGGAACAAGGUUACAGCCAGAACGUAGCUGUGCAUCAUGUCUUGAAAAUAAACGAGCACAUGUAAUAAAGGCCAGUGAAAUUUCCCCUGGAAGAAAAACUAUCCCUCCCACCCUGCCCCGUUGAGAACCACUGAUGUCGACCAACGAUUGUCCUGAGGGUCAAUGACACCCUUUCAAAGCCAAAAUUAUUUUCAUACUAAUAUGAAGACGUGAUUUGCCCUUUGCACAAUGCUGACAUUUGCACUGAUGGUGGAAAAGCAAUGGUCUUGGAGUUAGGUCAACAGGAGAAGAGUCAAGUGAGGUCACAGAUGAGGUGAAUUACUAGGAACAAGUCAAGAAGCCUCAAAAGAAUCAAGGCGUAAAAUACCAAGUAAAUGUGCAGUCUAGCCAUUAGAAGACCAAAAGGACCAAAAUUUCCACAGGGGGGAAAAAAAAGAAACAAGGCUUGCAAUAAAAUUGUUUAAGAACCUACUGGAGAAUAUAUAUUCCAUCAAAAUCAGGAAGAAACCCAAGAAAGAUGGCAUGGAAUCCAGCAAAGAAGGGAUCCAAUAUAGGAGAAAAACUAAGAGAAUCUCAAAAUGGUGAAGCAAAGUCACAGUAACAUAUGGAGAAGGCCUAGAAGGCAACAAAUCCAGACAGGAAUGUGACAGAGAAUCCAAGAUAGUUAUUUCUGAGGGAUUUUACAAAGGCACUGGAAGAUGUAAGAAAUUAAGCUUUAGGAAUGGCCUUCAUUGGUUGCAAUAGGAAGCGAAAGAGGAGACCUGAAAUCAAAUGAAAAAGCGUAAGCAUCCUGGGGAGAAGCCCACUGGAUCUCAGUUCUGCCCUGCUCAGGAAAGUUCAGUAUCCAGGUGACUGAGAACAGAACCGGCUGGCACCAAAGACAUGAUUUUGAGGGGGCCGGAGCCCUUUCCCUUUGCCUCCAUAC